CUACGGGGCGCUCCAGUGGGGAAUAUUGCACAAUGGAGGAAACUCUGAUGCAGCAACGCCGCGUGGAGGAUGACACUUUUCGGAGCGUAAACUCCUUUUAUAUAGGAAGAAGAUGACGGUACUAUAUGAAUAAGCGCCGGCUAGUACUCCGUGCCAGCAGCCGCGGUAAUACGGAGGGCGCAAGCGUUACUCGGAAUCACUGGGCGUAAAGAGCGUGUAGGCGGAUUAAAAAGUCAGAAGUGAAAUCCUAUAGCUUAACUAUAGAACUGCUUCUGAAACUCUUAAUCUAGAAUAUGGGAGAGGUAGAUGGAAUUUCUGGUGUAGGGGUAAAAUCCGUAGAGAUCAGAAGGAAUACCGAUUGCGAAGGCGAUCUACUAGAACAUUAUUGACGCUGAGACGCGAAAGCGUGGGGAGCAAACAGGAUUAGAUACCCCGGUAGUC
This 441-nucleotide ribosomal RNA is filed under the name uncultured bacterium. RNAcentral's name for it is "partial 16S ribosomal RNA". It matches the Rfam family "Bacterial small subunit ribosomal RNA", at positions 339 to 795 of the family's 1533-position model. The record is from RNAcentral.